This 510-nucleotide ribosomal RNA is filed under the name uncultured bacterium. RNAcentral's name for it is "bacterial SSU rRNA". It matches the Rfam family "Bacterial small subunit ribosomal RNA", at positions 28 to 525 of the family's 1533-position model. The record is from RNAcentral.
GACGAACGCUGGCGGUGUGCUUAACACAUGCAAGUCGUGCGACGAACCAGACUUCGGUCUGGGGCAAAGCGGCGAACGGUGAGUAACACGUGGGUAAUCUGCCCCGAUGACUGGGACAACCCGAGGAAACUCGGGCUAAUACCGGAUGUGGUGCCUGGACUCAAGUCCGGUCACUAAAGGUAGCUUCGGCUUCCGCAUUGGGAGGGGCCCGCGGCCCAUUAGCUUGUUGGUGGGGUCAAGGCCUACCAAGGCAACGAUGGGUAGCUGGUCUGAGAGGACGAUCAGCCACACUGGGACUGAGACACGGCCCAGACUCCUACGGGAGGCAGCAGUGGGGAAUCUUGCGCAAUGCGCGAAAGCGUGACGCAGCAACACCGCGUGAGGGAAGACGGCCUUAGGGUUGUAAACCUCUUUCAGAUGGGACGAAGGUGAUGCGGUGAAUAGCCGAUGUCAUUGACGGUACCGUCAGAAGAAGCUCCGGCUAACUACGUGCCAGCAGCCGCGGUAAUC